This 214-nucleotide ribosomal RNA is filed under the name Campeiostachys nutans. Its description in RNAcentral is "Elymus nutans partial small subunit ribosomal RNA". The stretch from base 45 to 214 matches the Rfam family "Eukaryotic small subunit ribosomal RNA", at positions 693 to 864 of the family's 1831-position model. Lineage: Eukaryota; Viridiplantae; Streptophyta; Magnoliopsida; Poales; Poaceae. The record is from RNAcentral.
GGAUCAAUAUGUUGGUCGUGCCUUGGUACGUACUAAUUUAUUGGUUUCUUCCUUCUGACGAACCUUGAUGUCAUUAAUUUGGUGUCUUGGGGAAUCAGGACUGUUACUUUGAAAAAAUUAGAGUGUUCAAAGCAGGCAAUCGCUUGGAUACAUUAGUAUGGAAUAAUGAAAUAGGACGUUUGAUUCUAUUUUGUUGGUUUCUAGGAUUGACGUA